AGUUGGGAGACUUGGGACAAGUCACUCUUACCUCGCUCAGAGGCAAUCUAGAUGUACUUCACACUCUUAAUUAUGGCUUUCUGAUCAAAAUUUAAGGGUGGAUAAUGCGAAGGGUCCACCAUGUGAUUCUCAAGGGAAGAUUGUCCUUGAGUUCAAGUGAUAGAAUGUGUCUGGUCAUCCUUGUAGGGGACACUCAAUUUGUGGGG
Molecule: long non-coding RNA, 206 nt
Filed under: Elaeis guineensis (African oil palm)
Lineage: Eukaryota; Viridiplantae; Streptophyta; Magnoliopsida; Arecales; Arecaceae
Description: long non-coding RNA (EGUI_LNC030649)
Source: RNAcentral